GAUGAAGAACGUAGCGAAAUGCGAUAAGUAAUGUGAAUUGCAGAAUUCAGUGAAUCAUCGAAUCUUUGAACGCACAUUGUGCCCGCCAGUAUUCUGGCGGGCAUGCCUGUCCGAGCGUCAUUUCAACCCUCAAGCCCCCGGGCUUGGUGUUGGAGAUCGGCGAGCCCCCCGGGGCGCGCCGUCUCCCAAAUAUAGUGGCGGUCCCGCUGUAGCUUCCUCUGCGUAGUAGCACACCUCGCACUGGGAAACAGCGUGGCCACGCCGUAAAACCCCCCACUUCUGAAAGGUUGACCUCGGAUCAGGUAGGAAUACCCGCUGAACUUAAGCAUAUCAAUAAGCGGAGGA
Molecule: unclassified non-coding RNA, 345 nt
Filed under: soil metagenome
Description: partial contains 5.8S ribosomal RNA, internal transcribed spacer 2, and large subunit ribosomal RNA
Rfam family: 5.8S ribosomal RNA (bases 1-120)
Source: RNAcentral